Non-coding RNA from Lonchura striata (white-rumped munia), 309 nucleotides. Lineage: Eukaryota; Metazoa; Chordata; Aves; Passeriformes; Estrildidae. The record is from RefSeq and is a predicted model, not a curated record.
GCUGUCCGAGAUCGAAGGCGUUGGCCGCUGGCUGUCCACUGAAGAUCGCACAAACUGCGAAGUCUUGGGGUCUGUCCCACGGAGAGCAAGGUAUUUGAAUGUGAACCCUGUUCUCCAGCUGGGUGGUGUGAAAGAGUCAUUACCAUAUUCCUAUCCACAGUUGCUACACAAACAUUUUUCUGGUUGCUUGCGCAAUUUCAUCCUGGAUACUCAGGUGUAUGACCUUCAGUUUCCCGCAGAGUCCCUGAACAGCUUCCCGGGCUGCACCCUGACGGAUGGGAGCUGUGAGACCAUGGGAUCUUCCUCCUG